UGCCAUAUCAAUAAGCGGAGGAAAAGAAACCAACAGGGAUUGCCUCAGUAGCGGCGAGUGAAGCGGCAAAAGCUCAAAUUUGAAAUCUGGCGUCUUUGGCGUCCGAGUUGUAAUUUGAAGAAGGUAUCUUUGGGCCCGGCUCUUGUCUAUGUUCCUUGGAACAGGACGUCACAGAGGGUGAGAAUCCCGUGCGAUGAGAUGGCCCGGGUCUAUGUAAAGUUCCUUCGACGAGUCGAGUUGUUUGGGAAUA
RNAcentral lists this ribosomal RNA (250 nucleotides) under uncultured yeast. RNAcentral's name for it is "partial 26S ribosomal RNA". It matches the Rfam family "Eukaryotic large subunit ribosomal RNA", at positions 36 to 282 of the family's 3401-position model. Lineage: Eukaryota; Fungi. The record is from RNAcentral.